AGGAGUGUGGCGGAAUGGUCUACGCACAGCACUUAAAAUGCUGCGGCUUUACGGCCUGGGGGUUCGAAUCCCCUCACUCCUACCA
This 85-nucleotide transfer RNA is filed under the name Flavonifractor sp. An82. RNAcentral's name for it is "tRNA-Leu". It matches the Rfam family "tRNA". From Rfam's summary of the family: Transfer RNA (tRNA) molecules are approximately 80 nucleotides in length. Their secondary structure includes four short double-helical elements and three loops (D, anti-codon, and T loops). The record is from RNAcentral. Lineage: Bacteria; Bacillati; Bacillota; Clostridia; Eubacteriales; Oscillospiraceae.